This 492-nucleotide ribosomal RNA is filed under the name uncultured bacterium. RNAcentral describes it as "partial 16S ribosomal RNA". It matches the Rfam family "Bacterial small subunit ribosomal RNA", at positions 29 to 507 of the family's 1533-position model. The record is from RNAcentral.
AGUGAACGCUGGCGGUAGGCCUAACACAUGCAAGUCGAACGGCAGCACAGUAAGGGCUUGCUCUUACGGGUGGCGAGUGGCGGACGGGUGAGGAAUACAUCGGAAUCUACUUUUUCGUGGGGGAUAACGUAGGGAAACUUACGCUAAUACCGCAUACGACCUACGGGUGAAAGCAGGGGAUCUUCGGACCUUGCGCGAUUGAAUGAGCCGAUGUCGGAUUAGCUAGUUGGCGGGGUAAAGGCCCACCAAGGCGACGAUCCGUAGCUGGUCUGAGAGGAUGAUCAGCCACACUGGAACUGAGACACGGUCCAGACUCCUACGGGAGGCAGCAGUAGGGAAUAUUGGACAAUGGGCGCAAGCCUGAUCCAGCCAUACCGCGUGAGUGAAGAAGGCCUUCGGGUUGUAAAGCCCUUUUGUUGGGAAAGAAAAGCAGCGGGUUAAUACCCCGCUGUUCUGACGGUACCCAAAGAAUAAGCACCGGCUAACUUCGUG